GCCCGCCAGAGAAUUACAAGCGCAAGCUUAAAACCCAAAGGACUUGACGGUGUCCCAUAUCACUCUAGAGGAGCCUGUCCUAUAAUCGAUACUCCGCGCUAUACCUCACCCCCCCUUGCACCCACAGCCUAUAUACCGCCGUCGCAAGCCUACCUGAUGACAGACUUCACCACAACCAGCAAAAAAGGCCCCCCCAAAGACGUCAGGUCAAGGUGUAGCCUAUGCAGGGGAAAGAGAUGGGCUACAUUUUCUACCAUAGAAAACUACCAAGAGUAUACAUGAAAAUAAACUUAAAAGGCGGAUUUAGCAGUAAGCACGGACAAGACAUGCCGUCCUGAA
Molecule: ribosomal RNA, 339 nt
Filed under: Pachydactylus namaquensis
Lineage: Eukaryota; Metazoa; Chordata; Lepidosauria; Squamata; Gekkonidae
Description: partial 12S ribosomal RNA
Rfam family: Bacterial small subunit ribosomal RNA
Source: RNAcentral